GAUGAACGCUGGCGGCGUGCCUAAUACAUGCAAGUCGAGCGAACAGACGAGGAUCUUGCUCCUCUUACGUGAGCGGCGGACGGGUGAGUAACACGUGUAUAACCUACCUAUAAGACUGGGAUAACUUCGGGAAACCGGAGCUAAUACCGGAUAAUAUAUUGAACCGCAUGGUUCAAUAGUGAAAGACGGAUUUGCUGUCACUUAUAGAUGGAUCCGCGCCGCAUUAGCUAGUUGGUAAGGUAACGGCUUACCAAGGCAACGAUGCGUAGCCGACCUGAGAGGGUGAUCGGCCACACUGGAACUGAGACACGGUCCAGACUCCUACGGGAGGCAGCAGUAGGGAAUCUUCCGCAAUGGGCGAAAGCCUGACGGAGCAACGCCGCGUGAGUGAUGAAGGUCUUCGGAUCGUAAAACUCUGUUAUUAGGGAAGAACAAAUGUGUAAGUAACUAUGCACGUCUUGACGGUACCUAAACAGAAAGCCACGGCUAACUACGUG
Molecule: ribosomal RNA, 497 nt
Filed under: uncultured bacterium
Lineage: Bacteria
Description: partial 16S ribosomal RNA
Rfam family: Bacterial small subunit ribosomal RNA
Source: RNAcentral